CAGCGCAGAACCACAGUCGAUAGAAUAAGGUUAGGAAACUCGAUGCAAACAUGCAUAAUAGACCUCAUUAUCUUUGUUGGUUUUUGCAACAUAUGGUCGGUUCAUCGUCACGUGUGUAUUGUAGUUUCGCUAGACCAACCAAUAGCUAUGUUUUCAUUUAACCAUUGUGUAAUAUCAUGAUUGGGUAAUCCAACCAACACACUGCUAUUGAUUGGUUGGGCGAAAAAAUAAUACACACGUGACGAUGAACCAUAGAAAUAAUAGACAUAGAAUGCGUGCUCCUAUCUUUUCUUAGUAAAAAUUUUGUCUCCACAAAAUGGCGGAUUUAUAAGGGCAUUUUGGCUAGUCCCAGACUCUUGCAGCAAGG
Paramuricea clavata is the source of this 367-nucleotide non-coding RNA. The record is from the annotation of a GenBank genome assembly. NCBI's taxonomy places the organism in Eukaryota, Metazoa, Cnidaria, Anthozoa, Malacalcyonacea, Plexauridae.